This 947-nucleotide long non-coding RNA is filed under the name Pan troglodytes (chimpanzee). RNAcentral describes it as "lncRNA (ENSPTRG00000054164.1)". The record is from RNAcentral. Lineage: Eukaryota; Metazoa; Chordata; Mammalia; Primates; Hominidae.
AUGCUGAUCUUGACCACAUCCUUCUCGGAAGUGGCUCUGGAGAGGCUGCUGUGGAAAUUGUCAUCAGGUGAUGUGAGGGAAGUGUGCUCUGCCCCCUGUGUGGAUGCCUGUGUCCUGUGUGUGGCUGGAGUAGGACUUGGCUUGUGGGUGAUCACAGAGAUGGAGACUGAGAAGCAGAUCCUUGCUUUGCUACUGACAAAAAGCAUGGGUGGUGCUCUGAUUGCUGGGAUGUUCGGACCCUGGCUGGGUCACGUGCUGCAGCCGGCGGAGCUGGAGAAGUCACGAGCCUUCCCACCGCAUGAGGCUGCCCUGCUGCUGCCUGGGUUGGCCAGGGGAGCCGUUGCCAUCGGAAGUCAGUCUGUUUGAAAUUUCUGUCAGUUCCAUCUACCAGUUGGUUGUCAUCCCCAAGGGUUCUAUGAUUUUCCGUGCUGCCAAGGAGGAUGAUAAAAGAUUUACUGACCUCAAUAUACAGACACUCAACUUACAAUGUCUCCAUGUCUCCGUAAAAGAUUUACUGACCUCAAUAUACAGACACUCAACUUACAAUGUCUCCAUGUCUCCGUAAACCCAGCGUAUUCCUUUGAAAUACUGUCAGUAGAAAAUGCAUUUAGUACCCCCUACCUAGGGAGCAUGACAGCCUGGCCUGGCCCACCUUAAACACGCUCAAAACACACAUCAGCCCACAGUUGGGCAGAAUCAUCUCCCACAAAGCCCACUUGAUAUUAAAGUGUUGAGUUCUCAUGUGAUUUGUGGAAUAUUUUACUGAAAGUGAAAAACAGAACAGUUUCUACUGAAUGCCUGUCACUUUCACGUGAUCGUAAAGUCAAAAAAUCUAAGUGAAACCAUUUUACGUUGGGGAUAGUCUAUACCCUGUUAAUGUGCCUUAUUCUGGAAACCAUUCGAUGUGAGCUGAGGAAAUAGUCCAAACAGAACAUGGAGAAAAGCAG